Helicoverpa zea (corn earworm) is the source of this 801-nucleotide long non-coding RNA. RefSeq lists it as uncharacterized. Lineage: Eukaryota; Metazoa; Arthropoda; Insecta; Lepidoptera; Noctuidae. The record is from RefSeq and is a predicted model, not a curated record. The transcript has 3 exons.
UGAUAUGUGCGCGUUAAGGAUAUCGACAUCCGCCGAACGAGUUUUUCCAGUCCGUAUCAUCGCAAUAUCACGGUUAUUAUUGAAACGCGCGCUGCGGUCGCGACAGUACCAACAUACCUGGCAUGCCUAGUUGUGAAGCUACGACUUUCCAUGCCAUUGCAGACUCUUUUUUGUUGAACACCCUGACAGAGGUACGGCAACGGCGGCAUGCGGGGUACUGGUGAAACAGCGCGCACCCCUCCCCUCGGGCCGCACACACGCGCGGUGCGUUCCACAGAGGCGCGCGGGGAUCGGCGCGACGGACGAACUUCGAUGGUCGCGCGGUCGCCUUCUAUCAGGACGAAACGUAAAGGUGACGAGCAUGUACUCGCGAAGCAAGCGCCGCUCACGGUGCCUUGUCAAUUUUAUUGUCAUUAAUAACUUAAUUCAGAAACAUAGUAGGUAUUUAUGCCAAAGCUAUUUAGUAAUCUGCGGUAAAAGGUUAUUUCUUUAUUAAUGCACUUUAUUAAGAAAGUCCCUAAUAUAACGACGGUUGGACAGCGACUAUUCAUUAAUUUACAAUUAUAAAUAUUAUGUAAUUAGAUAUAUGUAAAUACAUGUCUGUAAUCACAUAUACACAUAACAUACCUUCUUUUACUAUUUUGAUACAAUCUCAUCAGUCCCGUUAUUUAUGUAUACGAUUUUUUUCGGUAAUUUAAAUAUCACAUGUGAUAAAAGCUAAGUAUACCUAUACCUUGCCAAAUACCUACAAAAAUAUGUAUGUAUAAAAAUGCUAUGUAUUCAAUAAAAUAUUUAUAUGCC